This 61-nucleotide transfer RNA is filed under the name Biomphalaria sudanica. RNAcentral's name for it is "tRNA-Tyr". Lineage: Eukaryota; Metazoa; Mollusca; Gastropoda; Planorbidae. The record is from RNAcentral.
UUUUUGAAAGUGCCUGCACAAAAGAUUGUAAAUCUUUCAUUGAUUAAUAAAUCUCAAAAUA